RNAcentral lists this ribosomal RNA (468 nucleotides) under uncultured bacterium. RNAcentral's name for it is "partial 16S ribosomal RNA". It matches the Rfam family "Bacterial small subunit ribosomal RNA", at positions 28 to 507 of the family's 1533-position model. The record is from RNAcentral.
GACGAACGCUGGCGGCGUGCUUAACACAUGCAAGUCGAACGGAAAGGCCCUGCUUUUGUGGGGUGCUCGAGUGGCGAACGGGUGAGUAACACGUGAGUAACCUGCCCUUGACUUUGGGAUAACUUCAGGAAACUGGGGCUAAUACCGGAUAGGAUCUCCUGCUGCAUGGUGGGGGUUGGAAAGUUUCGGCGGUUGGGGAUGGACUCGCGGCUUAUCAGCUUGUUGGUGGGGUAGUGGCUUACCAAGGCUUUGACGGGUAGCCGGCCUGAGAGGGUGAACGGCCACAUGGGGACUGAGAUACGGCCCAGACUCCUACGGGAGGCAGAAGUGGGGAAUAUUGCACAAUGGGCGGAAGCCUGAUGCAGCAACGCUGCGUGCGGGAUGACGGCUUUCGGGUUGUAAACCGCUUUCGCCUGUGACGAAGCGUGAGUGACGGUAAUGAGUAAAGAAGCACCGGCUAACUACGUG